UUGCUGAUUACAAGCCUGGUGUGACUUGAAGGGGGAAAGAGAGAGAGAGAGAGAGAGGAAGGAAAACAGAGGGAGAGACGGGCUCCUCGGGAGAAAAAGCCAUUCAAUUUACGGAAUAAAUCCUUCGAGUAAACUCGAUUUGUGUGCCAGCAACCCGGCAGCUCUUCCCGGCCCCGCACCGCGCUGACCUACGCGUAGGGCAGCGGGUGCGGGGCCGGGAAGGGCCACCGGGCUCCUCUUCCCCUUCCCUCCUCGUCCUCUUCGAAGAAGCGCCCUCCGUCCCUGCGCCUGCCGGGCUGGCCCGGUCGCCGGUACCGGGGGCCUGGGGAGGCGGCCCCUGGCCUUAGCGAGAGUAUCGGUUCGCCAUUUACGUGGUUGAUCUCAGCUAGGCUGUGUUGAGAACCUCGUGGAAAGUUCCUGUCCUCAAUGGAUGACAAACUAGGUGGAAGCAUAUGAGUGUGAAGAGCUUUUUUCCUGAGCAGCUUCAUUCAGGCUGGGAGAAUGUAGAAGCUGAGCCUUCACAGUCUUCUAGGGAGAAAAGGAGAAGAAGGUACCAUUUUCUGCUUGUCUCACAUCUCCAGGGUAGCAGUGGGACAGAAAUUCCAGGACGAGACAAGAGACCAGCUUGGUAUGGAAGUCUAAGACAGCUAACAAACUGGGAAAAGAUGCUUGAAGUUUGGCUGGCUAAUCUGGAUAUUUCUAUCCCUUCAUCAUGAGAAUUUACUCUACAUAUUUCUCAAGAGUUUUGUGCUGAGAAUAAAGUAGUUUUUGUUGGUUACUGCCA
RNAcentral lists this long non-coding RNA (784 nucleotides) under Calidris pugnax (ruff). RNAcentral's name for it is "lncRNA (ENSCPUG00000010101.1)". Lineage: Eukaryota; Metazoa; Chordata; Aves; Charadriiformes; Scolopacidae. The record is from RNAcentral.